UUCCUCUUCCGGGAAUUCAGGUAGUCGCAUGAUAGGUACUUUGACAACAGAAGAAAGGCAGCAACGAAUAGAAAGAUAUCGGCAGAAGCGAAGGCGCAGGGAUUUUAGGAGAAUUCGGUAUCAGAGUCGAAGAAGGAACGCACAAAUAAGGGCUCGACAUGGCAACGGUCGAUUCGUCAAG
RNAcentral lists this non-coding RNA (181 nucleotides) under Aplanochytrium stocchinoi. The record is from RNAcentral. Lineage: Eukaryota; Bigyra; Thraustochytrida; Thraustochytriidae.